GACGAACGCUGGCGGCGUGCCUAAUACAUGCAAGUCGAACGCUUUUUCUUUCACCGGAGCUUGCUCCACCGAAAGAAAAAGAGUGGCGAACGGGUGAGUAACACGUGGGUAACCUGCCCAUCAGAAGGGGAUAACACUUGGAAACAGGUGCUAAUACCGUAUAACACUAUUUUCCGCAUGGAAGAAAGUUGAAAGGCGCUUUUGCGUCACUGAUGGAUGGACCCGCGGUGCAUUAGCUAGUUGGUGAGGUAACGGCUCACCAAGGCAACGAUGCAUAGCCGACCUGAGAGGGUGAUCGGCCACACUGGGACUGAGACACGGCCCAGACUCCUACGGGAGGCAGCAGUAGGGAAUCUUCGGCAAUGGACGAAAGUCUGACCGAGCAACGCCGCGUGAGUGAAGAAAGUUUUCGGAUCGUAGAACUCUGUUGUUAGAGAAGAACAAGGAUGAGAGUAAAAUGUUCAUCCCUUGACGGUAUCUAACCAGAAAGCCACGGCUAACUACGUGCCAGCCGCCGCCGUAA
This 523-nucleotide ribosomal RNA is filed under the name uncultured bacterium. RNAcentral describes it as "partial 16S ribosomal RNA". It matches the Rfam family "Bacterial small subunit ribosomal RNA", at positions 28 to 523 of the family's 1533-position model. The record is from RNAcentral.